UGAAAGUGCAGGAAACCUUCGGGUCGAUGGAUUCGCCACUGAGCAGCUGUGCUGGUUCAAACACUUUAAGCAUCUGGAAGCACCUUAGGCUCCUCCCCCUUUCAGGAAAUCGCUUCAGGAAGGAACCAGAAGAUUCAGGAGUCUGGGAGAUGUGACUGUAACCGACCUGAACACUGAGGCCCCAGAGCGCCCCCUGCAGGAUCUGCUGCACCAUCACCGUUUCCAGCAGCAAAUCAAUCAUCUGUUGGUCCAGACAGAAAAGCUGAAGCUGUCAGUGAAGCAGAUCAGAAGCUGAGCAGCAGAAACCC
Xiphophorus hellerii (green swordtail) is the source of this 308-nucleotide long non-coding RNA. RefSeq lists it as uncharacterized. The transcript has 2 exons. The record is from RefSeq and is a predicted model, not a curated record. Lineage: Eukaryota; Metazoa; Chordata; Actinopteri; Cyprinodontiformes; Poeciliidae.